RNAcentral lists this ribosomal RNA (334 nucleotides) under uncultured bacterium. Its description in RNAcentral is "bacterial SSU rRNA". It matches the Rfam family "Bacterial small subunit ribosomal RNA", at positions 1 to 334 of the family's 1533-position model. The record is from RNAcentral.
GUCUAGUACUCAGGUUUGAUCCUGGCUCAGAUUGAACGCUGGCGGCAGGCCUAACACAUGCAAGUCGAGCGGAUGAUGGGAGCUUGCUCCUUGAUUCAGCGGCGGACGGGUGAGUAAUGCCUAGGAAUCUGCCCGGUAGUGGGGGACAACGUUUCGAAAGGAACGCUAAUACCGCAUACGUCCUACGGGAGAAAGCAGGGGACCUUCGGGCCUUGCGCUAUCAGAUGAGCCUAGGUCGGAUUAGCUAGUUGGUGGGGUAAUGGCUCACCAAGGCGACGAUCCGUAACUGGUCUGAGAGGAUGAUCAGUCACACUGGAACUGAGACACGGUCCAG